RNAcentral lists this ribosomal RNA (253 nucleotides) under uncultured bacterium. RNAcentral describes it as "partial 16S ribosomal RNA". It matches the Rfam family "Bacterial small subunit ribosomal RNA", at positions 524 to 776 of the family's 1533-position model. The record is from RNAcentral.
UACGUAGGGUGCAAGCGUUGUUCGGAAUUACUGGGCGUAAAGGGCGCGUAGGCGGCACAGCAAGUCGGGAGUGAAAGCCCGGGGCUCAACCCCGGAAUGGCUUUCGAAACUGCUGAGCUAGAGUACAGAAGGGGCAACCGGAAUUCCCAGUGUAGCGGUGAAAUGCGUAGAUAUUGGGAAGAACACCUGAGGCGAAGGCGGGUUGCUGGGCUGAUACUGACGCUGAGGCGCGAAAGCCAGGGGAGCAAACGGG